RNAcentral lists this long non-coding RNA (305 nucleotides) under Homo sapiens (human). Its description in RNAcentral is "PREDICTED lncRNA (TCONS_00174738)". Lineage: Eukaryota; Metazoa; Chordata; Mammalia; Primates; Hominidae. The record is from RNAcentral.
CCGGCGUACUGGGGCGGUUCAGUCGCCUCAGCCGCGGUGUGAGGGAGCGGGAGUCUUCCUUAGCUUCUCCGCCAUGGGUGUCGCUUCGUAGCCGGGCUGCUCCGGGAAAGGCCUCGUACAGGUUCUUCAAAUCCUAGUCACACUCAACACUGCACUGAACAGAGAUGAAAGAACUGCUUUACACUUAACAUUGAAAAAAGAAGUAGUCUGUUUGUGCCAAAGCCACCAUGCACAUACAAUCUGUGCCUUGUAUUCAUAUACCACCUAUCUGUAAAGGAUUCCAGGUGUGUGUGCGUGUGGGGGGG